UGAAGUGGUUCACAUCAAAAUGCAAGUUUGAAAAAGAGCUCUAAGAGCUCCGGGGCUU
This 58-nucleotide transfer RNA is filed under the name Plica plica (tree runner). Its description in RNAcentral is "tRNA-Cys". The record is from RNAcentral. Lineage: Eukaryota; Metazoa; Chordata; Lepidosauria; Squamata; Tropiduridae.